GAUGAACGCUGGCGGCGUGCCUAAUACAUGCAAGUCGAGCGAACAGACGAGGAGCUUGCUCCUCUGACGUUAGCGGCGGACAGGUGAGUAACACGUGGAUAACCUACCUAUAAGACUGGGAUAACUUCGGGAAACCGGAGCUAAUACCGGAUAAUAUAUUGAACCGCAUGGUUCAAUAGUGAAAGACGGUUUUGCUGUCACUUAUAGAUGGAUCCGCGCCGCAUUAGCUAGUUGGUAAGGUAACGGCUUACCAAGGCAACGAUGCGUAGCCGACCUGAGAGGGGGAUCGGCCACACUGGAACGGAGACACGGUCCAGACUCCUACGGGAGGCAGCAGUAGGGAAUCUUCCGCAAUGGGCGAAAGCCUGACGGAGCAACGCCGCGUGAGUGAUGAAGGUCUUCGGAUCGUAAAACUCUGUUAUUAGGGAAGAACAAAUGUGUAAGUAACUAUGCACGUCUUGACGGUACCUAAUCAGAAAGCAACGGCUAACUACGUG
RNAcentral lists this ribosomal RNA (497 nucleotides) under uncultured bacterium. Its description in RNAcentral is "partial 16S ribosomal RNA". It matches the Rfam family "Bacterial small subunit ribosomal RNA", at positions 28 to 507 of the family's 1533-position model. The record is from RNAcentral.